RNAcentral lists this long non-coding RNA (3722 nucleotides) under Sus scrofa (pig). RNAcentral describes it as "lncRNA (ENSSSCG00000054391.1)". Lineage: Eukaryota; Metazoa; Chordata; Mammalia; Artiodactyla; Suidae. The record is from RNAcentral.
UAUACCACAGCCACAGCAACAUGGGAUUCAAGCAUCCUCUGCAACCUACACCAGAGCUCACAUGGCAGCGCCGGAUCCUUAACCCACUGAGCAAGGCCAGGGGUCGAACCUGCACCCUCAUGGAUCCUGGUCGGGCUCGUUACCACUGGGCCACAACAGGAACUUCCUCAGCCAAACAAUUUUUAAAUAACUUCCCUCACAGUUUCCUUGUCAAGUUUAAAAGUUUUUGUGGUUGCCUGUUUUCUUUGAGGGGUUCCAACAGACUUGCUUUUUCUGACAGUGUAAAAUUUAGUAAAAGUCAAUUAGACUUUUUUUGGUAAAAGUAAGUUUGUGAGUUAUAGUCUUAACCUGUACCAUCUUUUCUUGGGCCUUUACUGAGGAUGUGAAAAUGAAUGAAUAAGUUGUGUAGGUUCCGUGUCCUCAGGAAGCUUACAUUGUAGAAGACAGAAAAGUAAAUGUCCUUUUUUUUUUUUCCCAAGCAAGCAAAGUCUUUAUUACAGGAAAGCAAACAGCUCCCAGGACAGCUGGGAGGGGGAAGAAGAGCCCCCUCUCUCUAUUGUCCUUAAGGGGGGUUUAUCCCUUAAAGAUGGGAGGGGUACCACCGUGAGGUCUAGAAAGAUGUGGUUUUCCCCCAUUGGCCUUGCCCAGUUACCUAUAUCAGUCCUUGUCCAAUAGGGGUCCUAGAGGUGGAAAUGUCCUGUAAGUUUCAUGGUUUCUUUGUCCUUCUCUUCCCGUAGACUGAGUCACAGAGGGUUAGGGAUUCGUGUCCAUCUGGGCAUAGGUACACUCCCCAUAGUAAACAAGGCCUGUGGGGAUGUUACGCCCUGGAGCCUUUAAGCCACAAAUGUUAAUUAAUGGCCAUAUCAAAGAAUGCAUCGAAGCCCAUGCUCCUACACUGACUCCCUGAGUGAUUGCUCUGCCUCAAUCCCCCCUCUAGAGUUGGACACUCUAACUGCGGGGGGUAAAUGUACUUUUUUAGCUUCUAGGCAGAGGGAGACCAUGAGGAUUACCUACCAUGAGGGGUAGGUAAGUGACCAGCUGGAGGGGAGCGGUCAAGGGAAGUGUCCUGCUGAACAGAAAACCUGAGCUGAGAGCACAGGGGGACCAGGACUGAGCCAGAGAGUCAAUGGGAAGGAAAACGGAGAAACACAGAGAUGAAGUUCUUGUGCCUGAAUGAUGUAAAGUCUAAACUUAGGGUCUGGUGUAAAGGCUUCCUUGACAUAUGGUGAAACCUACAGAGCCUCAAAGGUCCUAACCACAGGCUCCCUCCCCACCCUGCUCCUGAGGAUGAGCAACCCCCCCACCACCCCGCAAACAAACCUCCGUGUCAAGGAGUUCCUGCUUAUCUCUGGCAGCAGCCUGUGGAACGGUUCAAAUAAGUCAACCACAUCCUUCCAUGUGGGCCUGAGGUCACCCCUGCCCCUUAAUAUUACCAAGCUGACCCCCACAAAAAUAGGCUGCUCCUUCUGUCUCCAAGCACAGCUUCCAUGUGGCCCUGUGUGGCACCAGCUCCUCCUCUCUGGCUGUGAGCACGUGUGACUAAACUGCUGGUGGUCUCGUCUGUCCAGACUUUAAAAUUUUUUUUAUUAUAGUUGAUUUAUAAUGUUCUGUCCAUUUCUGCUGUACAGCAAAGUGACCCAGUUAUACAUACAUAUACAUUCUUUUUUUUCACAUUUCCUCCAUUGUGUUCCAUUGCAAGUGAUUAGAUAUAGUUUCCCGUGGUAUGCAGCAGGACCUCAUUGCUUAUCCACUCCAAAUGCAAUAGUUUGCAUCUACUAACCCCAAACUGCCAGUCCAUCCCACUCCCUCCCCCUCCCCCUGGCAACCACAAGUCUGUUCUCCAUGUCCAUGAGUUUAUUUCUUUUCUGUAGAUAGGAUCAUUUGUGCCAUGUAUUAGAUCCCAGAUAUAAGUGAUAUCAUAUGGUAUUUGUCUUUCUCUUUCUGACUGACUUCACUUAGUAUGAGAGUCUCUAUUUCCACCCAUGUUGUUGAAAUGGCCUUAUUUUUUUCUUUUUUAUGGCUUAGUAUUCCAUUGUGUAUAUGUACCACAUCUUCUUAAUUCAUUCAUCUGUCAAUGGACAUUUAGGUUGUUUCCAUGUCUUGGCUAUUGUGAAUAGUGUUGUACCACAGAAAAGAAACUCGUGGACUUGGAGAACAGACUUGUGGUUGCUGAGAGGAGGGAGAGGGCGUGGGAUGGACUGGGAGCCUGGGGUUAAUAGAGGAAAACUAUUGCAUUUGGAAUGGAUAAGUAAUGAGAUCCUGCGGUAUAGCACUGGAAACAAUGUCUAGUCACUUGUUAUGGAGCAUGAUGGAGGAUAAUGUGAGAAAAAGAAAGUGUGUGUGUGUGUGUGUGUGUGUGUGUGUGUGUGAGAGAGAGAGAGAGAGAGAGAGAGAGACUGGGUCACUUUGCUGUACAGUAGAAAAUUGACAGAACACUGUAAACCAACUAUAAUGGAAAAAAUAAAAAUCAUUAAAAAUACAUUAAAAGUGAAUAGUGCUGUAAUGAACAUAUGUGUACAUGUAUCUUUUUCAAGGAAAGUUUUGUCCGGAUAUAUGCCCAAGAGUGGGAUUGCUGGGUCAUAUGGUAGUUCUAUAGUUUUCUGAGGUACCUCCAUACUGUUUUCCAUAGUGGUUGUAUCAAUUUACAUUCCCACCAGUACAGGAGGGUACCAUUUUCUCCACACCCUCUGCAGCAUUUGUUAUUUGGUGACUUUGUUAUUUGAUGGCCAUCCUGACUGGUGUGAGGUGGUACCUCACAGUAGUUUUGAUUUGUAUUUCUCUAAUAAUUAGUGAUGUUGAGCAUUUUUUCAUGUGCUUGUUGGCCGUCUGUAUGUCUUCCUUGGAGGUGUGUGUGUGUUUGUGUGUGUAUGUGUGUGUGUGUGUACACUUGGCCAUCCCCCUGACCCCAGGACUUGAAUCCCUACCUCACCAGCAGGAUGAAUAGGAGGUGGUUACACAGUGGGCAUAGGGAUGUGCAUGCAGAGCCCCUAAGCAGCAUCGCUGGAGGCUUUGGUGAGGCGGGAGAGCUGAGCUGGCUGCCCAGGAAGUGGGCAGAGACCAGGUCAUGACAGUUCUAGAGCCUUUAACCAGGUAGUGUGGAUCUUAGUGGCAGGAAAACAGGCUGCAUCUGAGUAGUGAACAGAUGACUCUGGGCAGUGUGUGAGCUGGGUUCGAGCGGAUGGGGUUAGAGGUAGAAAGUCUGAUGAGGGAGCUGCUGCUGACAUCCAGGUAAGAGAAGAUGAGGACCUCAACCAGAAUGGGCGGGUGAAGUCGGGGCGCAGAGGAAGGGAGAGCCUCAGGGAGGGUUUAUAAAGUGGGAAACGUAAUCAGUUGCGCACCGCCCCCCACCCCACCUCCCGCGCUCCGCACCCAAUCAAAAGGCAGCAGGGAUGUGUUGGAUCUGAUAGUGAGUGAAUGAGUAUUAACGGAGCGCUUGCGAAGCUCAGCAGGACCGUAGGGUAGGGCUGUGCAGGGUGAGGGGGCAGCCAGCCUGAAGACGUGAGGGCUGUGGGGACCCACCCUGUGCCCCACCCACUACGCGUAGUAGGUCACCAGGAGAUCUGAGAUAAGGCCCCCCCCCCAGGUGAUGGCUUUGAUUUAUACACCCCAAAGAUGAUGUGACCGCAUGCUCAAGUGCAGACUCAGGCUGUGCCUGCAGAAUUCUGAAAAGGCAAACAGCAUCUCUCUCCAUUUUCGCAUGUAAGAUAAGAAUCGGACUUCUU